RNAcentral lists this ribosomal RNA (440 nucleotides) under uncultured bacterium. RNAcentral describes it as "partial 16S ribosomal RNA". It matches the Rfam family "Bacterial small subunit ribosomal RNA", at positions 338 to 795 of the family's 1533-position model. The record is from RNAcentral.
CCUACGGGAGGCAGCAGUGGGGAAUAUUGGACAAUGGGGGAAAUCCUGAUGCAGCGACGCCGCGUGAGUGAAGAAGUACUUCGUUAUGUAAAGCCCUAUCAGCAGGGAAGAAAAUGACGGUACCUGAGUAAGAAGCCGCGGAUAACCACGUGCCAGCAGCCGCGGCAACACGUAGGGGGCCAGCGUUAUCCGGAUUUACUGGGUGUAAAGGGAGCGUAGACGGCAGUGAAAGUCCGGAGUGAAAGUCGGGGGCUCAACCCCCGGACUGCGCUGGAAACUGUACGGCUGGAGUGCAGGAGAGGUAAGUGGAAUUCCUAGUGUAGCGGUGAAAUGCGUAGAUAUUAGGCGGAACACCAGUGGCGAAGGCGGCUUACUGGACUGUAACUGACGUUGAGGCUCGAAAGCGUGGGGAGCAAACAGGAUUAGAUACCCUUGUAGUC